UUUAUAAUUUUUUUUUUUUUUUUAUAUUUCAUUUUUCUUUUACUUAUAUAAAGAUAGAAAAAAACGAAAAAAACAAAAAUUUAUGAAAAUUGUAUUAUUUUAAUCUUUUACUUUAUUAUUAUAUUAUUGUUAUGUAUAUAUAAUAAUAUAAGUAGCAAAAAUAAAGGAUGGGAAGAAUCCUUUUAAUAUUUUGUUUAUUUGUUUCUUCUUUUUUGUUUUAAUUCUUUUAAAAUUUAUGAAAGAGAAGAUGUAAUAUAUGUAUAAAUUAAAUGUAUAUAAUAUUUAUAUAAGAAUUAUCCACAUUAAACUUUAUUUCUUUCUUUCUUUUUUUUUUUUUUCUUUUUUUUUUAUUGUUAUAUUGGAAAUUUAUACGGUGCGUAGUAUAUUAAAUUGUAUGUGUACAACAUGAAAUUCAUUGUAUUAUAUAUAUAUAUGAAUAUAAUUUAAAUAUAUAAAAUAUUAUUAUUAUAUAUAUGAAGUGAAAAAAAAAAAAAAAAAAAUACAUAUGGAAACAGAAAAUAAAUAAAUUGUAAUAAAUUGUUAAUAUAUAUAUAUAUAUAUAUAUAUAUAUAUAUGUAUGUAUUUAUAUAAUAUUUCUGUAAUUUCUUUUUGGAUUAAAAGAAAUGAGAAAAUUACAAAUGCAUAAAUUUUUACAAAUAAAUAUAUAGAAAGUGUAAAGCUUAUUUAUAUCAUAUAAUUUUAAGUAACAUAUAUAUAUAUAUAUAUAUAUAUAUAUAUAUUUACUUUUUAAAAUAAAUAAAUGUAGAAAAUAUGUCUAAUAUAACAUCAUUUAUUUGUCUAUAAAUUUUUGAAAUAUUUAUCCUUUAUAUAUAUAUAUAUAUAUAUAUGUAUAUGUAUUUAAUUUAUUUAUUUAUUUUAUUUUUUUAAGGAGAAUUAAUAAGUAUGUACCUUUUAUAAAAUGCAUAUAAUAAAGAGAAAAAAAUUUACUUGUACAAAAUGGAAAACAUUAAAUUGUAAAAGGUUUUUUUUUUUUUUUUUUUAAUUUUUUCAUAUUUUAUUAAAUUGAAAAAAAAAAAAAGGAAAGGAAAAAAUAUACAUUGUUUAUAGAAACUAAGAAAAGAGGAAUCUCCUUUAAAAAUAUAAAUAAGUAGUAAGAAUUAUAAAUAUAAUGUCAUGUUAAUAUAUAUAUAUAUAUAUAUAUAUAUGUAAAUUGUUAUAUAUUCCUAUAUAUUAGUCAUUUUACCUCUUUUCUUUUCUGUGCACUUACAUUAUAAUAUAAAGAAAAAAGAAAAAAAAAGAGGAAACAAAAAAAUUAUAUAACUAAAUAAUUUUUAUAAAAAUAUAAGUAAUAUAUAUAUAUAUGUUCAUAAACCGGAUAACAACAUUUAAAUAUGCACCUUGACUUGUUGGUUUAUAUAAAUUUCGUUAUUUAUUUAUUUAUUUAUUUAUUUAUUUAUUUUAUUUUUUUUUUUUUGCGUAACCAUAUUUAGAAUAUGAGUAUUGUGUGUGUCUAUAUAGAUCAUUUUAUUAAAUGAUAUAUAAUUUUAAAAUAUUUUAUCAUAAAAAGAUUAUACCUCUAUUAAAAAAGACAAAAGAAUAUUUACAAAUAAAUAUAUAUACAUAUGUAUUUAUAUAUAUAUAUAUAUAUAUAUAUAUAUAUAUAUUUUUUUUGCUUUUCUUUCCUUUUUGGUAUAUAAUAUUUUAACAUUAUGUAGGGGGAAAAAAAAAAAAAAAAUAAUUACGUAAUAUAUAAUAUAUCAAUAUAUGUAAAAAUACUCAUUUUAUUAUUUUAAAUGUAUUUAUCUAUCUUUGUCUUAGAAAAUCAGAUUUGUUAAUAUAUUAAUAAAGUAUAUUUUGCGUCUUAUUUAUUUUAUAUUUUGUUUUUUUAUAAAGCACAAAAGAUAAUGUUCAUUCAUAUAGAAAAGACCACAUUUUUUAUGUAUAAGCAUAAAAGCAUUAUUUAUUUAAUGGUAUUAUCAUAUAUAAGGAACUUACUAUUUACACAAAAAAAAAAGAAAAAAAAAAAAAAAAAAUAUAUAUAUAUAUAUAUAUAUAUAUAAAUACAUGUUAUACAUAUUGUAUAUGUACGAAAUAAGGAAAAAUAUAAGGUACAUAAAUUUUUAUAUACAAAUUUAUUUAUGUACACAAAAAAAAAAAAAAAAAAAAAAAAAAAAAAAGAGAAAUAUAUAUAUAUAUAUAUAUAUAUAUAUAUAUAUAUAUAUAUUAAUUUCCGUAGUAUAAUAAAAGUACAGUAAAAAUAUGGUGUACGUACAAUUUAUGAAUACUACCCUUUUUUAAUUUAUAAACGAAAUAAAUAAAAAAAAAAAAUAAUAUAAAUAAAUAAUAACAUAAUAACAUACAAUGGAAAAUAUUCAUUUUUAUAUAUUUCUAUAAUUUUCCCCUAUGAAACAAACCAAAAUAUAUGUAUAUUUAUUAUAUAAAAUAAUACAUAUUCUUUUGUUCUUUUUAGAAAUAUAUAAAAUACAUAUUAUUAUCUAUAUCUUUUGUAGUACACCCUUAAUAGCUAUCAUGAAUAAAAAGAAAAAUAAAAAGAAAAAUAAAUUACUGUAUAAAAAGAUAUAUAUGUACAUAUACAAUAUAUUUUUCCUAUAUUAUUAUAUUUAAAAUAAUAUAAAUAUUAAAUGGUUCAAAUAUAUUAUGAUCCUUAAUUUUACUUUAUAUACUUUUAAAAGGAUUAAUUUAUUUAUUUAAUAAUCUUCCUUUUUAACGAGCUCACAUAAAUAUAAAUAUAUAUGUAAAUAUAUAUAUUAUGUAUGAUUAUAAAAUCUGAAAUAUUAUAUUUUAUUAUAUUUAUAAAUAUAUAAUAAUUUAAAGAAAGCACUUGUUUUUUAUAUAUUAAUAAAUAUAAAUACAUAUAUUUUUCAUAUUUUUUUAUUAUGUUUUACAAUAAUAUAUAUAUAAAAAAAAAAAAAGAAAAAUUUAUAUAUAAUUGUUAGUUUUAUAUAAUAUGCCUUAAAUUUUUUUUUUUUUACGUAUUUUUAAAUGGAACAAAAUCGUCUCAAAAGAAAAAAAAAAAAAAAAAAAAGA
RNAcentral lists this small RNA (3009 nucleotides) under Plasmodium falciparum 3D7. RNAcentral's name for it is "Plasmodium falciparum sRNA PF3D7_1203800". The record is from RNAcentral. Lineage: Eukaryota; Apicomplexa; Aconoidasida; Haemosporida; Plasmodiidae.